RNAcentral lists this transfer RNA (73 nucleotides) under Felis catus (domestic cat). It matches the Rfam family "tRNA". From Rfam's summary of the family: Transfer RNA (tRNA) molecules are approximately 80 nucleotides in length. Their secondary structure includes four short double-helical elements and three loops (D, anti-codon, and T loops). Lineage: Eukaryota; Metazoa; Chordata; Mammalia; Carnivora; Felidae. The record is from Rfam by way of RNAcentral.
GCCUGGCUGGUUCAGCCAAUAGAGCAUGUGAUUCUUAAUCUCAGGACUGUGAGUUCAAGCCCCAUGUUGGGCA